UUCCUUGUGUGUGCAAGCACACUUGGCAAUAAAGCUCUUCUGAUUCUGAUUCUGAUUCUGAAUGUGUGGCCGCCAUUUUCUGCUGUGGGAUGAGGAGGGUUGAGGAGUUACGACGGAUUCUCUUGCUGUUUAAUUCGUUAUUGAUUUAAGAACAUCACGAACUGAACAUCAGCCUUCUAGUGAUAGAUUGUGAAUGUGGCAGUGCAAAGAAAGCUCCUGGGCCUCAUCAAAUGUCACCAUGUCCUAGGCUUGUCGAACUACUUGAGGGCCUCAGCCAUUGAGGAUGCAGAAAGUGGCAUUGCAAGCACAGUCAUGGGGAUUUACACAAUUCGAGGAGAAGGUUCUACAAAACCAGAUGAUGUAGGAAUAGUGAUCGAGGGCAUCAAGGUUUUGAGUAACCUAGACUGUGUGAUUUUUGUAUUCAUCAUGCUGUACAGUCUAAUUUAUGCUCUUGACCAAAGCUUUCCUGACAACCUCAAGAACACAUUUUUUUAGGAGUUUAUCCAAAAAAUAAUAAUGAACUUGGAUGGACAUAAGAUGACUACAAAGAUUCAGCAUCUUAAAAUUAAGCUGUUUGCAUGACAUGCUCAUUUUUUGGGACAUUUGCAUGAAUUGAGGAUUGAUGAGGAUUUCUAUAUCAAUGUAAAAACACCUGUUGCAUCAAAUAGCCAAGGGAGGAUUUUAUAUGCAUCUAUGUUAUUUUUUGAUGUUUUUCAUAUAUCUGACUUUAAGCACUUUACAUGCUGAUGGACUAAAGUAAAGACAAUACAUGUAUUUCUAGUUGGUUAUUCUAGUCUAGCAAGUCAUUAGGCUUCAGAAAUGUUAAUUUUAUCGUUGAUGUGUAC
Triplophysa rosa is the source of this 845-nucleotide long non-coding RNA. RefSeq lists it as uncharacterized. The transcript has 4 exons. NCBI's taxonomy places the organism in Eukaryota, Metazoa, Chordata, Actinopteri, Cypriniformes, Nemacheilidae. The record is from RefSeq and is a predicted model, not a curated record.